RNAcentral lists this ribosomal RNA (482 nucleotides) under Limnebius sinuatus. RNAcentral describes it as "SSU rRNA". It matches the Rfam family "Eukaryotic small subunit ribosomal RNA", at positions 138 to 602 of the family's 1831-position model. The record is from RNAcentral. Lineage: Eukaryota; Metazoa; Arthropoda; Insecta; Coleoptera; Hydraenidae.
CUUGGAUAACUGUGGUAAUUCUAGAGCUAAUACAUGCAAAUAGAGCUCCGACCGGAGACGGAAGGAGCGCUUUUAUUAGAUCAAAACCAAUCGGUGGCGGCUUGCCGUCACCGUACUCCUUGGUGACUCUGAAUAACUUGUUGCUGAUCGCACGGUCUCGAACCGGCGACGCAUCUUUCAAAUGUCUGCCUUAUCAACUGUCGAUGGUAGGUUCUGCGCCUACCAUGGUUGUAACGGGUAACGGGGAAUCAGGGUUCGAUUCCGGAGAGGGAGCCUGAGAAACGGCUACCACAUCCAAGGAAGGCAGCAGGCGCGCAAAUUACCCACUCCCGGCACGGGGAGGUAGUGACGAAAAAUAACGAUACGGGACUCAUCCGAGGCCCCGUAAUCGGAAUGAGUACACUCUAAACCCUUUAACGAGGAUCAAUUGGAGGGCCAGUCUGGUGCCAGCAGCCGCGGUAAUUCCAGCUCCAAUAGCGUAU